Molecule: long non-coding RNA, 395 nt
Filed under: Cyanistes caeruleus (blue tit)
Lineage: Eukaryota; Metazoa; Chordata; Aves; Passeriformes; Paridae
Description: lncRNA (ENSCCEG00000016666.1)
Source: RNAcentral
GAGCUGUGGCAGAAUUCAAACACAAGGCCAACAACUGCACCAGGGGGAUCUCAAAUGCAUGACUGGAACCAGCCAGGACUCAGUAUUUUCUGAAGGAAAGUUUCUUCGAGAAGUUUAGCUUCUGAAAGUGAAAGCUCAGAGAGGAAGGAGCUGUCUUCAAAUAUUUCAGCCAAAUUUUGUAAAAGGGAAGAAGCCUGAAAGAAGGAAAAGAACUCUGCCAGACUUGGGGACUUUAUUACAUAGAUAAAUGGGCAGUAUAUCAAAGAAGACAUAUAGUAGCUUAUUUCAGCUGGACAAUUGAAAUAUUUAGAUUCAGGUAAGCCUAAAAGAAAUAUGUUUUCUUUUUUCCCUUCUGAUUGAAACAGAGAAGCAAAAAAGAAUCAAAAAAAUUCCUG